This 253-nucleotide ribosomal RNA is filed under the name uncultured bacterium. RNAcentral describes it as "partial 16S ribosomal RNA". It matches the Rfam family "Bacterial small subunit ribosomal RNA", at positions 524 to 776 of the family's 1533-position model. The record is from RNAcentral.
UACGGGGGGGGCAAGCGUUGUUCGGAAUUACUGGGCGUAAAGGGCUCGUAGGUGGCCAACUAAGUCAGACGUGAAAUCCCUCGGCUUAACCGGGGAACUGCGUCUGAUACUGGAUGGCUUGAGUUCGGGAGAGGGAUGCGGAAUUCCAGGUGUAGCGGUGAAAUGCGUAGAUAUCCGGAGGAACACCGGUGGCGAAGGCGGCAUCCUGGACCGACACUGACACUGAGGAGCGAAAGCCAGGGGAGCAAACGGG